Molecule: ribosomal RNA, 505 nt
Filed under: uncultured bacterium
Lineage: Bacteria
Description: partial 16S ribosomal RNA
Rfam family: Bacterial small subunit ribosomal RNA
Source: RNAcentral
GACGAACGCUGGCGGCGUGCCUAAUACAUGCAAGUAGAACGCACAGUUUAUACCGUAGCUUGCUACACCAUAAACUGUGAGUUGCGAACGGGUGAGUAACGCGUAGGUAACCUGCCUGGUAGCGGGGGAUAACUAUUGGAAACGAUAGCUAAUACCGCAUAAUAUUAAUUAUUGCAUGAUAAUUGAUUGAAAGAUGCAAUUGCAUCACUACCAGAUGGACCUGCGUUGUAUUAGCUAGUAGGUGAGGUAACGGCUCACCUAGGCGACGAUACAUAGCCGACCGGAGAGGGUGAUCGGCCACACUGGGACUGAGACACGGCCCAGAAGCCUACGGGAGGCAGCAGUAGGGAAUCUUCGGCAAUGGACGAAAGUCUGACCGAGCAACGCCGCGGGAGUGAAGAAGGUUGUCGGAUCGUAAAGCUCUGUUGUAAGAGAAGAACGGGUGUGAGAGUGGAAAGUUCACACUGUGACGGUAACUUACCAGAAAGGGACGGCUAACUACGUG